Molecule: transfer RNA, 59 nt
Filed under: Dictyocaulus viviparus (bovine lungworm)
Lineage: Eukaryota; Metazoa; Nematoda; Chromadorea; Rhabditida; Metastrongylidae
Rfam family: tRNA
About the family: Transfer RNA (tRNA) molecules are approximately 80 nucleotides in length.
Source: Rfam by way of RNAcentral
GUAGUGCAAUAAGUAGCACAACAAAUCAGACAUCUGUAGAUGCGAGUUCGAGUCUCGCC